RNAcentral lists this ribosomal RNA (492 nucleotides) under uncultured bacterium. RNAcentral's name for it is "partial 16S ribosomal RNA". It matches the Rfam family "Bacterial small subunit ribosomal RNA", at positions 29 to 507 of the family's 1533-position model. The record is from RNAcentral.
AGUGAACGCUGGCGGUAGGCCUAACACAUGCAAGUCGAACGGCAGCACAGUAAGAGCUUGCUCUUACGGGUGGCGAGUGGCGGACGGGUGAGGAAUACAUCGGAAUCUACUUUUUCGUGGGGGAUAACGUAGGGAAACUUACGCUAAUACCGCAUACGACCUACGGGUGAAAGCAGGGGAUCUUCGGACCUUGCGCGAUUGAAUGAGCCGAUGUCGGAUUAGCUAGUUGGCGGGGUAAAGGCCCACCAAGGCGACGAUCCGUAGCUGGUCUGAGAGGAUGAUCAGCCACACUGGGACUGAGACACGGUCCAGACUACUACGGGAGGCAGCAGUGGGGAAUAUUGGACAAUGGGCGCAAGCCUGAUCCAGCCAUACCGCGUGGGUGAAGAAGGCCUUCGGGUUGUAAAGCCCUUUUGUUGGGAAAGAAAAGCAGCAGGUUAAUACCCCGCUGUUCUGACGGUACCCAAAGAAUAAGCACCGGCUAACUUCGUG